RNAcentral lists this transfer RNA (87 nucleotides) under Myxococcota bacterium. RNAcentral's name for it is "tRNA-Leu". It matches the Rfam family "tRNA". From Rfam's summary of the family: Transfer RNA (tRNA) molecules are approximately 80 nucleotides in length. The record is from RNAcentral. Lineage: Bacteria; Pseudomonadati; Myxococcota.
GCCCGGGUGGCGGAACUGGCAGACGCGCUGGCUUCAGGUGCCAGUGGGGGAAACUUCGUGGAGGUUCGAAUCCUCUCCCGGGCACCA